CGGCGGACUGGUGAGUAACACGUGGGUGAUCUACCCUUAGGUUGGGGAUAGCCAUUAGAAAUAGUGGGUAAUACCGAAUGUGGUUGCAGGGCUUUGGCCUUGUAAAGAAAGGAGCUACGGCUCCGCCUGAGGAUGAGCCCGCGUCCCAUUAGCUAGUUGGGGGUGUAACGGACCACCAAGGCGAUGAUGGGUAGCCGGCCUGAGAGGGUGAACGGCCACACUGGGACUGAGAUACGGCCCAGACUCCUACGGGAGGCAGCAGCUAAGAAUAUUCCGCAAUGGACGAAAGUCUGACGGAGCGACGCCGCGUGGAUGAUGAAGGCCGAAAGGUUGUAAAGUCCUUUUGUCGACGAAGAAUAAGUGGGGGAGGGAAUGCCCUCAUGAUGACGUUAGUCGGCGAAUAAGCCCCGGCUAAUUACGUGCCUGCAGCCGCGGUAACACGUAAGGGGCAAGCGUUGUUCGGAAUUAUUGGGCGUAAAGGGUACGUAGGCGGUCCUGUGAGCCCGACGUGAAAUACUGGAGCUUAACUCCAGAACUGCGCCGGGAACUGUAGGACUUGAGUCAUGGAAGGGGAGUUGGAAUUCCAGGUGUAGGGGUGAAAUCUGUAGAUAUCUGGAAGAACACCGGUGGCGAAGGCGAACUCCUGGCCAAUGACUGACGCUGAGGUACGAAAGUGCGGGGAGCAAACAGGAUUAGAUACCCUGGUAGUCCGCACAGUAAACGAUGUGCGCUAGGUGUUGGGCCGAGCGGUUCAGUGCCGAAGCUAACGUGAUAAGUGCACCGCCUGGGGAGUAUGCCCGCAAGGGUGAAACUCAAAGGAAUUGACGGGGGCCCGCACAAGCGGUGGAGCAUGUGGUUUAAUUCGAUGGUACGCGAGGAACCUUACCUGGGUUUGACAUCCUGAGGAAUACGG
Molecule: ribosomal RNA, 913 nt
Filed under: uncultured bacterium
Lineage: Bacteria
Description: bacterial SSU rRNA
Rfam family: Bacterial small subunit ribosomal RNA
Source: RNAcentral